CAUGCACAUGUUUGUGGUUUGACACAGAUACACAUUCAGAAUAAUUUUAGGUAAACUCUCACGGUCUGAUCAUGACUAUCUUGAGUAAAGCAGAUCCAUAAGAUGUUGAUGCGAUGCACAAAACAAGGAAGCACC
Molecule: long non-coding RNA, 135 nt
Organism: Mytilus trossulus (common blue mussel)
Lineage: Eukaryota; Metazoa; Mollusca; Bivalvia; Mytilida; Mytilidae
Exons: 2
Source: RefSeq, a predicted model, not a curated record